UUCUCAGUGUGGUCUCCAUGUAACGGGGAGGCCUGUCUACUCCAGUCCUUUGGGAAAGAGCUCCUCUCUAGACUCCCCACAGCAGUCUGGCCCUUCCCUCCCCCUCAAGUCUCUGCUUCCACUUGGAGACUGACUAGGUGUUCCCUUUCCACAGUCCAGCCUGGACAUGUUUCUUGGAGGUGAGAGCAGUCCAGAACCACUGGACAACAUCUUGAUGGCUGCCUUUGAAUUCGACAUUCACCAAGUGAUCAAGGAGUGCAGGUAGGACACGCCUAAUUAUAACUUCUUUUUGACGUGGUCUCUCUAUGUACCUCUGACUGUCCUGGAACUCUCUGUGUAGUUCAGGCUGACCUCCAAUUCUGCUUGCUUCUUUCUGCCUCCUGUGUUGGGAGUAAAGGCAUGCACACCACACUGGCUCCUUUGCACUGUUUUCAGGGGUCUGGUUGAGCCAUUGAACACAGCAGCCUUCCACUCCCUUCCUUCUGCAUGGGGCGUGCUAUGCUCUUCUUACACCUUCUUCCUGGUUUCUAUUAAUUGUUGUGUGCAGGGCUGGUUUACACUGGUGUGUGUGUGUGUGUGUGUGUGUGCGUGCGUGCGUGUGUGCGUGCGCGCGUGUGUGCGUGCGUGUGGUGGUGGGGGCUGUGUGUACGCCCUGCCCUGUGUCUGUGCGGGUUACCGUGCCUUGUGAAAGCCUC
RNAcentral lists this long non-coding RNA (695 nucleotides) under Rattus norvegicus (Norway rat). RNAcentral's name for it is "long non-coding RNA NONRATT006272". The record is from RNAcentral. Lineage: Eukaryota; Metazoa; Chordata; Mammalia; Rodentia; Muridae.